UGUGAUAUUAAAAAAAAAAAAAAAAUACAGGACGUAGUACUUGGGGCUGGGCCCUUAAACCCCAACGGCCCAAUGCUCUCUUUUGUUGUAAAAUUGAGAAAACUCCUUUUUAAGAAAUUCCCUUCGUAAAACCUCUCCCCCUCUGUUUAUUCAUGAAAAUGGAGAAAGCUUUCAGUCUGGUUCAGACAGUUGCAGUGGCAACAGUCUUCUCUGCCGUCUUCGGAAUUCCAUUCUUUUCAGGUACGGCUUUGGAAGAGAAUCUACUCGCAAAGAGCUCGGAAGCUUAAUCGAAGACCUUCGCCGCCAGAAUCCCAAUUCCGAUCCUGAUUCCUGACUUCAUUGGGUUCAUGGCAUCAGGUGGGCAGUGUGGAAAUCCCUUUUGUUAAUGCUUGAGAAAACACUGUCUUAAGGCCUUACUGGAAAACUCCUUUGGCCAUCUUCGGCUGUUUUCAGGUAAUCUUACCUAUCCUUGACAGCAGAAUGUGCGUUCCUGAGGAGUUUGGAUAUUAACUUUAAAACCUUUGUAUGCUGACUUGCAUUGAAGAUUACAGCUUUCUGCUGUGACGUCGUCAUAGUUGUUAUUCAUAGUUGCUGUGAAUGAAUUAGAUAAUGUAGUUGGUGUUGAUCAUACUCUUUGGUGUUUCAAAUUAAUAAAGCGCAUUCUGUGAAGUAAUGUUUCAA
Molecule: long non-coding RNA, 681 nt
Organism: Rosa rugosa (rugosa rose)
Lineage: Eukaryota; Viridiplantae; Streptophyta; Magnoliopsida; Rosales; Rosaceae
Exons: 2
Source: RefSeq, a predicted model, not a curated record